This 3963-nucleotide long non-coding RNA is filed under the name Equus caballus (horse). Its description in RNAcentral is "lncRNA (ENSECAG00000054739.1)". Lineage: Eukaryota; Metazoa; Chordata; Mammalia; Perissodactyla; Equidae. The record is from RNAcentral.
AGGGGCUGGAGGAGGCCCUCUGGGGUCUCCAACCCCAUGGAGAACGGGGCAGGUCACUGGAGGUGGCUGGUGUGAUUGACAGAAGCUGCGCUCGGCUGUGACCACGUGAGGGGCCAGGAUGGGGCCGGGCGCGUCGUCCUGCUGCUCCCGGGGAUGCAGAUUUGGGGAUCUCUGUUCUUUCUCCCAGGACUUUACGGACGUGUGAAGAAGAGGCGGCCUGGGCCUGGGCGGGCGGCGCAUCUCCCAUGAGGGGCGUGGCCGCAGAGGCCAUGCCUUUUCUGCUCUCACGUGGUGCCGGAGUCUUCACAGCUCACAGCUCGGGCUCCAGUCCUUAGGUGGGCUUUUCCGGGUCAGGACUCAGGGAGUGGCCUGGGUCCUGCUCAGGGGUGGCUGUUUUGUCUGGACAAGCUCUCAAACAGAUCUUUUAGGGUUUUUCUUCUUCCCUCUAAUAAUCUUUUCUGGAAUCAAAGGGAGUGUAGAGGACGGGUGGCACGGGGGACUCCACGGGGUUUGGAAUCAGAAAGCCCACCGAGGCUGUGGAUAGGCUGUGUGACUUGGGGAAGUUACUUCACCUUUCUGCACGUGUUUCCUCAGUUUUAAAAUAGGGAUUGCAAUGCCAGGAAAAGCCUGGCAUCGAGGGAGAGCUUAAUCAAUAUUGUGGUUAUUGUCGAGUGCGCGGGCAAGACUCGAGGGAGAACUGUGGGCCCAGGGUCCCACAGAGGAUGACAAAGUGAUGCUGCAGCCAGGGCUGGGGUCCUAGCCUGGGCCUGUUCUGCAAGAAGGGGUGACGAAGCGCCCCACUCUGUAGCACUGACUGCCUGCCAGGUAAGCCUCGCACACCUGACUUCCUCAUCCCGGGACCCUGGCUUUGCAGCUUUGCCCCACUUCCUUGGCAUGUCCCUGAGGAGAUCAAGUGUGGCUGGGCCCUGCGUCCUCCCGCUCACUUGGGAGAGUGGGCAGUUCCGGGAGGCAGGAGACCGGCCUCUCCUCCGUGGGGCAGGGCAAAGCCCUUGGGACUAAUUCCUCUUCUUUGUGUGCUUUCUGUCCAUCACGGACCCCACGGGGUUGCUCAAGGCCCGUCUAGCUCUGGAGGCCCUUUCUAAGGAGGAGCAGGGCCGGUGAGUUCCUGGGGUGUCUGGGCAAUGUCCGGAGCCCACUUGGGGUCAGGUCUCCCGUGGGACUCUUCUGGGACCCGGGAGUGUGCACUGGACCGGUUCUGCUUGGUUCCAGGGCGGACACUCCUGCUGUUUGGUGGGUGUGCUCCUUUCUUGGUGCUUUCCGCUGGGUGUACUGAAGGGUUUAGAUUCAGAGGGCACGAACUGGCCAUGGGCUCAGAGGGAGAGAGGCCGAAGGGAUCGGCUGGUUUUCUGUAAGGAGGCGGAGGGCAGUGGUCUCUAAGAGGGGGCUUGAGAGCUAGCCCAUCCUUUUUCAGUCCUAGUUCUGUCCUUUAUCAGCUGAGUGGCCCUGGGCAAGUUACUUAGGCUGUCCAGCUUCAGUGUCCUUAUCUGCAAGCCAUCUGUCUUCACUGGGGCCCUCUGAAAGCAGAGGCUGAGUGAAGAACUUGGGGGCAGGAAGCAGGAGUGAGGGAGUGGAGAGGGGUGAGGUGGAGGAAGAGGAAAAGGGAGUGAGCAGUGGGCAGCAGGGACUCGCUCCUGCUGGGGACCCUCUGAGGGAGCAUGCAGAGUGUGCCUCUCAAUUGUCCUUCCAGCGGUGGCAGAUUGUGGCGUCUCUCUGCUCAUUGCUGUCCCCUGUGGGUGGAGGGUUGCCUCCGGGGGCCCCCACUUCUGGCCAUCUCCCCUGGUCUUGGCCCUGCUCUGACACCUGCAAGGGCAUCAAAACUCCAGCGGCACUCCAUUGUCAGGUUGAUCACUUUAGUCACUGGCAGUAAGCGCUGAUAAGUGAGCGUCGCCUUCUGUUAUGGUAAUUGUGGCCACGGUUGUGUUACUCAGACCUGCCACUAGCCAGCCCACAGAUGCAUGGUAGCCCAGAGCCCAAAUCCAACCCGCAGACUUGUUUAAUUUGGUCCAGAGAGAUCUAGAUCCUUUUAAAAUUACUUACCACUGUUAAAAAUUUGAUUGCUUUCAAAUAAAAAUUGGGAGUUCCAGUUUUUCUGGAAAAAUCGGCAGCUCUGACACAGGGCCCUCAUUCUCGUGUCAGAAUGCAGCCCCCCUACCCACGGUGUUUCUCUCCUGUCUUUGGCCUGUCGCUGGUGCCUGAAUCCCACCACUGAGUACCAGGUCUGUGGCGUUCCCUCCGCCCCACUGAUGCCCCAAGUUGGGGCGAUCCUUUUAGAGGAGCACGUGCUCUCCAGGCUUUGGCCCCCAUUACCCUGGGACUGUCCCCUAGGGAUGUCCCCGCCGGGCCCUGAAGGGCUGAGCGAGGAGUGGAGGGAGAGACCGCUAGGGUUGGUUCAGGAUGACAUGACAGCCCUCUGGGUAUCAACCUCUGUUGAGAACAGGGCUUUGUCCAACCAGUGGGCCCCAGAGCUUCAGGAGAGCAGCCUUCGACCUCGUCGGCUGUGGUGCUGCCCUGCGUGGCUCCCCGUCCCACGCAGGUGAGUAACGUUUCCCGCUGCUUUUAGAUGAUCUCGCAUCUGGCGGGCAGACCUGUUUCAGGGGUGCGUUCUCUGACCCAGGGUAGUCGGGCAGGCAGAAGGAGCUGCCCCAUGGGGAGAGGGAUGAAGUCACCCUAUGUGGGAGCUGGGCUCAGGCUGGGGCUUGGCAGGUCCAGGAGGCCCGGGGAGGAAGUCAGGAGACCGGCCAGAAGGCUCCACCCCUCCUCUCCUUCCUCUCGGGAGCUGGAGGUCAGGCUGGUGUGCAGAAUCCUGCAGGACUUCCCAGAGCCGUUUCCGAUUUGGGGGAAUAGCCGCCCCGUGGGUUGCCUCCUGCCUGUAUCUUACCAGGGCCUCUGCUGGCCUCUAAGGACUGUGUGUUCUUCCGGGUAGUGGUUGAAAUGACUAGUGUGGAGCUUGGCUGCAGCAGAUCCCGUCCAGAACAGGAGUUAAGAGCCAUCGGAAGAGUGACGGGAGAAGACACUGGGAUCUCUCCCAUCCAUUUAGCCCUCUCAGAGGGUCCUGGGUGGCCUCCUGUGCUGUUGCCUCUACUGUACCUGUUAACUGGGCAGCCCUGUCCAAGCUCAUUAACUUCUCUGAGCCCCAGUUUUCCCACUGUGAAAUGAAGACAACACUGGAAAGACAGAGUGGUUUUGAGGGAUGAAUGUAAAAGCCACUGGGAUAAACUUUGUAAGCUGCUGAGCACGGUGCCCACAUGAGGCCCAGGGGAUCGUGCCCACGGCCUGGGAGCUUCAGGGGAUCACAGCCACAUCUUCAAGGGCAGGAAGACAACCUGCCCUGCGAUAACUUGGCUCUGGGGACAGGGACCUCGAUUGUCAAGAGUGAUUUUCAAAGAUCUUCAGAGAGAACAGCAAAGCUGGCUUUCAUCUCUUGUUGCAGGCCCUGUCCCCUGGGAGGCUGGCACAGGGCUCCGUCUGGAGGCCUCACCCCCGAGCCCCAGGGGUGAUACUGAUAGUGAAAUUUAAAUUCAGUCGUGGCCUUAUCAGCUCCCCCAGAAACCUGUCUUGGACAAGUUGCUCUGGGAGCCGGGCUCAAUGUCCAAAAUGCCCAGGUGUCUUCCACAGUCCAGCCUGUGAAAUCGCCACAGCCUAGCAAGGUGCUUUUCAAAGGGCAUCAGCGUUUCUGUCGAGCUUCUCUACAUCAUGCAUGCUUCCUGGGGAUGAUUCAGAAGAUGGAAAAAAGCGGCAAGAAAAGAAUAAAGUCUCCUACACGCUUAAAGACAUAGUUGCUGUAAACAUUUUGGUGAACUUCCAUUCAUUCUUUUCCUUCUUUUCUUCCUCAUCUCUUCCUUUUUUUUUCUUAUUUUUGUUAUAAAAUAAUUCAAACAGAAAGAGACAAAAUACAGGGGAAAAUAUAGCAAUGAUGCCUGUUCUCCUUACCAUUCAUCUUUC